AGUUGAUAGAUGUUCAUGCGUGCGAUUCAAAUCAAACUAGUGUUCGUUUUAAAGUCUUAAGGAAAAACCGCGAGAUUCGCAAGUGUGCUGGAGUAGAGCAUAAAUUAAGGGAAUGAACGAAACUAGGAUCAGACUUGACAUUCAGACGUACGAUGGAUUUAGACUUAGAUAUAAUUUUUAUUUAAAUUUCCCUAAUGUUAUUUGGUUUUUGAACUGUAAAAUUAUUUGAACUGUGGUUUGGGUUUAUUUCUGUUUUGGAGAUUUUUCAUGCAUACAUAGUUUCAUACUUGAGAUUGGUUUAUAA
Long non-coding RNA from Gossypium arboreum, 304 nucleotides. RefSeq lists it as uncharacterized. NCBI's taxonomy places the organism in Eukaryota, Viridiplantae, Streptophyta, Magnoliopsida, Malvales, Malvaceae. The record is from RefSeq and is a predicted model, not a curated record. The transcript has 3 exons.